AGUUUUGAUCCUGGCUCAGAACAAACGCUGGCGGCGUGCCUAACACAUGCAAGUCGUACGAGAAAGUCCGCUUCGGUGGAUGAGUAAAGUGGCGCACGGGUGAGUAACGCGUGGAUAAUCUACCCUUUAGUCUGGAAUAACUUAUCGAAAGGUGAACUAAUACCGGAUAAUAUCCCGAUUUCUUCGGCGAUCGGGAUCAAAGAAGGCCUCUGCUUGCAAGCUUUCACUGAAGGAUGGGUCCGCGUACCAUUAGCUAGUUGGCAGGGUAAUGGCCUACCAAGGUUAUGAUGGUUAGCUGGUCUGAGAGGAUGAUCAGCCACACUGGAACUGAAACACGGUCCAGACUCCUACGGGAGGCAGCAGUGAGGAAUAUUGCGCAAUGGGGGCAACCCUGACGCAGCAACGCCGCGUGAGUGAGGAAGGUUUUCGGAUUGUAAAGCUCUGUCGAGCGGAAAGAAGUGCAUGGUGGUUUAAUAUCCAUCAUGCUUGACGGUACCGCUAAAGGAAGCACCGGCUAACUCCGUGCCAGCAGCCGCGGUAAUACGGGGGGUGCAAGCGUUGUUCGGAAUCAUUGGGCGUAAAGCGCGCGUAGGCGGCUGGACAAGUCAGAUGUGAAAGCCCUGGGCUUAACCCAGGAAGUGCAUUUGAAACUGUUCAGCUAGAGUAAGGGAGAGGAAAGUGGAAUUCCUGGUGUAGAGGUGAAAUUCGUAGAUAUCAGGAGGAACACCGGUGGCGAAGGCGACUUUCUGGCCCUAUACUGACGCUGAGACGCGAAAGCGUGGGUAGCAAACAGGAUUAGAUACCCUGGUAGUCCACGCUGUAAACGAUGUUCACUAGGUGUUGGGGGUAUUGACCCUUCCAGUGCCGCAGCUAACGCAUUAAGUGAA
This 887-nucleotide ribosomal RNA is filed under the name uncultured bacterium. Its description in RNAcentral is "bacterial SSU rRNA". It matches the Rfam family "Bacterial small subunit ribosomal RNA", at positions 10 to 868 of the family's 1533-position model. The record is from RNAcentral.